This 418-nucleotide ribosomal RNA is filed under the name uncultured bacterium. Its description in RNAcentral is "bacterial SSU rRNA". It matches the Rfam family "Bacterial small subunit ribosomal RNA", at positions 28 to 439 of the family's 1533-position model. The record is from RNAcentral.
GACGAACGCUGGCGGCGUGCCUAACACAUGCAAGUCGAGCGGAGACAGUGAGUAGCUUGCUAUGAACUGUUUUAGCGGCGGACGGGUGAGUAACGCGUGAGCAACCUUUCCCAGACAGGGGAAUAACACACCGAAAGGUGUACUAAUACCGCAUAAGACCACGGGAUCACAUGGUUCCGGGGUAAAAGAUUUAUCGGUUUGGGGUGGGCUCGCGUCCGAUUAGGUAGUUGGUGAGGUAACGGCCCACCAAGCCGACGAUCGGUAGCCGACCUGAGAGGGUGAUCGGCCACAUUGGGACUGAGACACGGCCCAAACUCCUACGGGAGGCAGCAGUGGGGAAUAUUGGGCAAUGGGGGGAACCCUGACCCAGCAACGCCGCGUGGAGGAAGAAGGUUUUCGGAUCGUAAACUCCUGUCCU